GCUGGCGGCGUGCUUUACACAUGCAAGUNGAACGGUGAACCGGUGCUUGCACCGGGGNAUCAGUGGCGAACGGGUGAGUAACACGUGAGCAAUCUGCCCCUAACUCUGGGAUAACUGCGGGAAACCGCAGCUAAUACCGGAUACGACCCAGGGAGGCAUCUUCACUGGGUGGAAAGUUUUUCGGUUAGGGAUGAGCUCGCGGCCUAUCAGCUUGUUGGUGGGGUAAUGGCCUACCAAGGCGACGACGGGUAGCCGGCCUGAGAGGGCGACCGGCCACACUGGGACUGAGGCACGGCCCAGACUCCUACGGGAGGCAGCAGUGGGGAAUAUUGCACAAUGGGCGAAAGCCUGAUGCAGCGACGCCGCGUGAGGGACGAAGGCCUUCGGGUUGUAAACCUCUUUCAGCAGGGAAGAAGCGAAAGUGACGGUACCUGCAGAAGAAGCACCUGCUAACUACGUGCCAGCAGCCGCGGUAAUACGUAGGGUGCAAGCGUUGUCCGGAAUUAUUGGGCGUAAAGAGCUCGUAGGCGGUUUGUCGCGUCUGCUGUGAAAACUCAGGGCUUAACCCUGAGCCUGCAGUGGGUACGGGCAGACUAGAGUGUGGUAGGGGAGAUCG
RNAcentral lists this ribosomal RNA (616 nucleotides) under uncultured soil bacterium. RNAcentral describes it as "bacterial SSU rRNA". It matches the Rfam family "Bacterial small subunit ribosomal RNA", at positions 35 to 663 of the family's 1533-position model. The record is from RNAcentral.